AGUAACACGUGGGCAACCUGCCUCAUAGAGAGGAAUAGCCUUCCGAAAGGGAGAUAAUACCUCAUAACAUUGCAGUUUCGCAUGGAACAGCAAUUAAAGGAGUAAUCCGCUAUGAGAUGGGCCCGCGGCGCAUUAGGCUAGGUUGGUGAGGUAAUGGCUCACCAAGGCGACGAUGCGUAGCCGACCUGAGAGGUGAUCGGCCACAUUGGGACUGAGACACGGCCCAGACUCCUACGGGAGGCAGCAGUGGGGAAUAUUGCACAAUGGGGGAAACCCUGAUGCAAGCAACGCCGCGUGAGUGAUGACGGCCUUCGGGUUGUAAAGCUCUGUCUUCAGGGACGAUAAUGACGGUACCUGAGGAGGAAGCCACGGCUAACUACGUGCCAGCAGCCGC
This 394-nucleotide ribosomal RNA is filed under the name uncultured bacterium. Its description in RNAcentral is "bacterial SSU rRNA". It matches the Rfam family "Bacterial small subunit ribosomal RNA", at positions 109 to 518 of the family's 1533-position model. The record is from RNAcentral.